GGAAUGAUACAUUAUUUCACAUGUAGAUUUUCUUUCAAUACAAAAGUCUUACUGUUGCAUUCAUCUUCAGAAGAGUCUUUAGUGAUAGCCACACAACCUGUCACCCUUAAUUUGUGCAAAGAAUCCAGUAGAUAAUUUAGUUCUUUUUGGGUUCCAUUUUAUAGCCUAAAUGGUUCUUGUGAACGCUACUGAAAUAGAUGAACAUAGGUUUUUAUGGGACUUCAAAAAUUUGACAGUACAGAAAGUAGGAAAGUG
RNAcentral lists this long non-coding RNA (255 nucleotides) under Panax ginseng (ginseng). Its description in RNAcentral is "long non-coding RNA (PGIN_LNC012599)". Lineage: Eukaryota; Viridiplantae; Streptophyta; Magnoliopsida; Apiales; Araliaceae. The record is from RNAcentral.